RNAcentral lists this ribosomal RNA (640 nucleotides) under uncultured archaeon. RNAcentral's name for it is "bacterial SSU rRNA". It matches the Rfam family "Archaeal small subunit ribosomal RNA", at positions 66 to 707 of the family's 1478-position model. The record is from RNAcentral.
UCCUUCGGGAGCACCGGCGGACUGCUCAGUAACACGUGGACAACCUACCCUCGGGUGGGGGAUAACCUCGGGAAACUGAGGCUAAUACCCCAUAGGCCUCGGAUACUGGAAGGUUCCGAGACCGAAAGCUCCGGCGCCCGAGGAUGGGUCUGCGGCCUAUCAGGUAGUUGGUGGUGUAAAGGACCACCAAGCCUACGACGGGUACGGGCCCUGAGAGGGGGAGCCCGGAGAUGGACUCUGAGACACGAGUCCAGGCCCUACGGGGCGCAGCAGGCGCGAAACCUUCGCAAUGCGCGAAAGCGCGACGGGGGGAGCCCGAGUGCCCUUCCUUUCGGGAGGGCUUUUCUGGAGCCUAAAAAGCUCCAGGAAUAAGGGCUGGGCAAGACGGGUGCCAGCCGCCGCGGUAAUACCCGCAGCUCGAGUGGUGGCCACUAUUAUUGAGCCUAAAGCGUCCGUAGCCGGACCCGUAAAUCCCUGGGUAAAUCCUGGCGCUCAACGUCAGGAAUUCCGGGGAGACUGCGGGUCUUGGGACCGGGAGAGGCCGGAGGUACUCCCGGGGUAGGGGUAAAAUCCUGUAAUCCCNGNGGGACCACCUGUGGCGAAAGCGUCCGGCUUGAACGGCUCCNACGGUGAGGGACNA